This 1480-nucleotide long non-coding RNA is filed under the name Anser brachyrhynchus (Pink-footed goose). Its description in RNAcentral is "lncRNA (ENSABRG00000010030.1)". Lineage: Eukaryota; Metazoa; Chordata; Aves; Anseriformes; Anatidae. The record is from RNAcentral.
AUGAGCAAACAGACAAAACCAAAAACAGGACGCGCGCUCUGCUCCUCCACAACCAGAGUGAAAAUAAAGAGGCAUUUACCAUCCUGCCCAGAGCUCUCCAGAUGCUCCGUCAGGUCGCAGCCGAACGCGCUCGCGGCUCCCUUCCUCUUGAGUUUCUGCUUGGCUCCCUUGUUCUUCAUGAGGUGGGGUGUCCAUGGCCCCAGAAGCAGAUGGAGAGCCUGGGGAAGAGCUUUGGCCAUGAGGCUUCCCCUCCUGCGGGCCUGGGGCUGCACCAGAGGUGUCACGCGGGCUAUUUCUGGGCUCCCACCUCUCCCUUCCCUGCUGUGUUUCCGUCGUUGUGUGGAGCUCUUCCCUGCCCAUGGCUUUGAAAUCUCCACCGACCUGCCAGGCGCCACUCGGCACAAAGGAUCGGCUGGGGGCGGGGAGGAAUGGAAGAACUGUGGGGGGGUGGGUUCCCCUAAAAAUAGCCCUGCCGAGUAGGACUGUUUUCCUGACACAGAUGGGUCAUUGUUAGACCCUGACACGCCAGUUCAACCUCCCUCCCCGCCCCUCCACAUACUCUCUUUCCUCCCCUGCCCCUCUCCGUCCCUGUUUCCUGCCUACUCCCAUCGUAUUGUGAAGCCUAAAGCCUGGUGUGGAGGCUUUUGUUUCUCUGAGUACCCAUCAGACCACAAAUUUGGGCCCCCUCUUGGCACAGGGCACCCACCACUCCCAGUUCCAAACACCCCCUCCCCCCAGUCACAAGUCCUGUUUUCCCCAGUUCUCACCUCCCUUCCCACCUCCCAAGGGACCCUCUUGCUCCACAAAGUGACAGACCUCCUUUCCUGUGUCCAUCUGCCCAAUGCAAUGGGUCUCCCAGCACUUUGUUGGCUACUUGGAAGGUGCUAGCACUUCAGCUACAAAUGAAGGAGGCACCUCACACUCACCUGCUACCGAUCCCCUGAAUUAGCCUAAUACCUCAACAUUCAGUUACUGACUAUACAUACCACAGCUACCAAACAUACAACUACAUCUUUAGCCAGACUGCCUUCUCCCAGUGUUCGCAGUCAUGUCAGAGGUGUCUUGUGUACAGAAAAACAGGUGAAGAAUGUAUCUCCCUUCCCUUGCUCAGACCACAAACUUGUCUGAAUAGUGAUGGUUGUUUAAUUCUGUGUUUGUACAACAUCUAGCACAGAGGAACUCUAAUUCUUGACAGGGGAUUCUAAUUAUUCUUUGUUUAAACAAUAUAAAAACCAUUCUAUGAACACUUUAUGUUUCCCAGUGUAAAACUCCAUUGAUAGUGCAAUAAUAUGCAAUAGUAUUAUAAAGCAAACAUUCAGAGAAAACCUCUUCCAGACCAGCCAUACAGCUAGCAAAGGCUUCCUUCAUCUCAGAGGCAUGCUCUGAACCCUCUCCAUACAUCUAACCAAUGAGAUGACCCAUUUGGUGAGGCAGGAAGGCCACAAACCUCACACCAUGGAGCCAUUCCAAAUUCACACAG